ACUUCACCAAGCGGCCGGUCCGAGGGGACAUGGCGGCAACCUCUGCAGCGUCAGUGCUGCUGGCGGGUGCAAGAAACUGGUGGCGACACUGCCUGAGCCCGCUGCUGUUGCCAAGGUGACGAGGCAUAAAGCCGCGGUGGAUCGAGUCUCACUUCAUCACCAUGCUGGAGUGCAGUGGCACUAUCUGAGAUCACUGCAAUCUCCGCCUCUCGGAUUCAAGCGAUUCUCGUGCCUCAGCCUCCCGAGUAGUAGCUGGGAGUACAGGCAUGUGCCACCAUGCCCAGCUAAUUUUUGUAUUUUUGGUACAGACCUGGUUUCGCCUUGUUGGCCAGGCUGGUCUCGAGCUUCUGACCUCAAGUGAUCCGCCUGCCUCGGCCUUCCAAAGUGCUGGGAUUACAGGCGUGAACCACUGAGACUGGUCAGUUAUUGGCUCUUUUUAAAGAUUGUGUUGCUUUCUGCCUCAAUAUUAAUAUGUUGGAAGUUACCAAGAAGUUCAUGACAGAUCUAUUUCAAAUUCUGGUGAAGAAGGAAGAAUUGGCCCUUGAAAGAAUCAGUGUUUUACAAUAAUUUUGAAAGAGGGUAAUGUUUUUCUAAUUGAUAUACAUAAAAACCAUAGCCAGGGAUUUAAAAUUUACCUUCUUGUUUAAGCUCUGUACUAAAAUUGCAGAAACUAGUAUCGUGUCUUACCAUUUGUAAUAAAGCUAUCAGAGAAAACCCAAGGAAAAAAACAGCUGUACCAGAUAGAAAAACUGAGUUGAACCUUUUUUUUUUCUUUUUUUUAGAUGGAGUCUCACUCUGUCACCCAGGCUGGAGUGUAGUGGCGCGAUCUCAGCUCACUGCAGUCUCCAUCUCCUGGGUUCAAGUGAUUCUCCUGCCUCAGCCUCCCAAGUAGCUGGGAUCACAGGUGCCCACCACCAUGCCUGGCUAGUUUUUUGUAUUUUUAGUAGAGACAGGGUUUCACCAUGUUGGCCAGGCUGGUCUUGAACUCCUAACCUCAGCUGAUCUGCCUGCCUCGGCCUCCCGAAGUGCUGGGAUUACAGGCGUGAGCCAUCGUGCCUGGCCUGAGUUGAACCUCUUUUUUAACAACAGGGUACUUUGUUCUAAGAUUUGGUACAGUAAUAUCUAUAUUUAAGCAGAAUUAGUAAAAUCAAUGAAUAACUAUUCUCUUCCAAUGGUAGGGAUGAGGUAUAGAAAUCAAAUGGCUUUUUAUUCCAACUCUGACAUGAAUUAACAUUUUCUUCUUGGGAAUACUAUAAGGAAGGAAAUUGUAUGCUCUUUAUGACAAGAGAUUGACCAGUCAGGUUGUUCCUUGUAGAACACAGAGUGAAAGGUAUCCGGGCUUCUAAGAAACAGCAUAUGCCAGUUUCUGGUGUGAUAAGAGCUGCUCUUCCCUAGUAUUGCUAAUUAAGAUGCUAUUAAUAUCUGAUUAUAGUUGAGCCUUGAACGACAUGAUUAGGGGCACCAACCCCCAUACAGUCGAAAAUCUGCAUAUAAUUUGACUCCCCAAAAACUUUACUAUGAACAGCUUAAUGUUGACCAGAAGCCCUACUAAUAAUAGUCGAUUAAACACAUAUUUUGUAUGUUAUACAUAUGAUAUAUUGUAUUCUUACAAUAAAAGAAACUAGAGAAAAGAAAAUGUUAUUAAGAAAAUCGUAAGGAAGAGAAAAUACUUUUACUAUUCAUUAGGUGGAAGUGGAUCACCAUAAAGGUCUUCAUCUUCCUCAUGUUCAUGUCAAGUAGGCUAAGGAGGAGGAGAGAGUGGAGGGGUUGGUCUUGCUGUCUAAAGGGUGGCAGAAGGAGAAGAAAAGCCACGUGUAAGUGGUCCUGCCCAGUUCAGACCCGUUUCCUUCAAGGGUCCACUGUAUUUUCUUAGUAAACUGAGGCAGGAUCUAGUUACAUUGUAGCUGUGAAGUGCUGCAUUGUCUUUGCCCCCUGCUCAAAAUAAAACUGUUACCUUUCAAGCCCUGUCUGCCAUGGUGCUGUAGCAGCAGGGAUGUUUGGUCUCAUACAUGUUUACCAAUUUAAGUACUGACUUGACAAAUGACUCUUGAGAAUUAGGGGUUGGUGGUGUUUUGCAGGUAGCGACAGAAGGAAGAAAACAUUAUCAGGAGGGAAUUCAGAUAAAGGACAAACCAUAUUUUGACUGCUACUGACUUGUUGAACUGGCAGUCGGGGUCAACUUGGGAAGACAGCUGUGACCAUAAAUAUUAAAGAAGACAAAAGGAUUCUUUGUGACACUGAGACCUUCUGCAGUACCACAGUGGAGGAAAUGCCAGUGUACACAACUGGCCUCAUUUAAUUCCUGGGAGGAGAUAGUUUGGGAUGCAGUGCUUGUUGUUGCUGAGCAGGCGAUCACAGCAUGCACUGUGUUUCUUUCUUUGAGAAUAUUUGAAUCCUGCCUGAAUACUCGUAACAGAUGAGAGACGCAGGUUUUGAUAGCAUAGAUUUACGCUGUCAUUAGUCAUGAGCUCUUGGGACGAAAGUAAUUGGUUUUAUCCUGUUUAGAGUUAGACCCUGUGGUUGGGUAUGAAAGAUGAGUGUCUGUAAAAAUCCUUCUUAGAAAUGUAUUUCCUCAAGACUCUGUCUCAAAAAAAAAAAAAAGAAAUUUAUUUCCUAGUUCUGUAAAAAUCGCUAUAUUGAGUGUUCUCUAUCACUUAAUAAUAUACUUAUUAUUAAGUGGACUUAAAGAUAUGCAGUGUAUAAAAUCAGCUAAUUACGUUAAACCAUGGUAUCUCCCUUUAUUGUGUUAGACUGAAUAGAACAAACUUUAAAAUAAUUUUUUAAAGAAUAUAUUUGAAUUCAUUUUGUUUGAUAAUAUGUUUUUAUUCAGAAAAGCAUUUUAUUAGCGCUAGGUGUGAACCCGAGCCUUUUGCUAAAUACCAGCAGCAAUCAUGUCCUAGAGUUAAAUCCCAGAAAAAUUGCCAUAUUAUAUAUUAAAGGUUCAAUAAAUUACAAUAAAGUAUUUUUUCUUUAAAGUGAUUUGGUCCUUAUUCCUUAAAAAUCAUACUUUUUGCCAUAACUCCAUAUUUGCAAAGGAAGAAGAUGAAAUGAAAUAGUACUCUAUAGUAAAUAUUUUAUUCCAGUUACAAAAUUACAUACAAAUGUGGCUUUUUAUAAAAAGGUUUAAUAGUUCCAAAUUGGGCUGGGUGCGGUGGCUCAUAGGCCGGGCACGAUGGCUCAUGCCUGUAAUCCCAGCACUUUGGGUGGCCCAGGCGGGCAGAUCACCUGAGGUCAGGAGUUCGAGACCAGCCUGACCAACAUGGUAAAACCCUGUCUCUACUGAAAAUACAAAAUCAGCCAGGCGUGGUGGUAUGUGCCUAUGAUCCCAGCUACUCGGGAGGCUGAGGCAGGAGAAUCGCUUGAACCCGGGAGGCAGAAGUUGCAGUGAGCCAAGAUCACACCACUGCACUCCGAACCUGGGCGACAGAGCGAGACUCUGUCUCAAAACAACAACAACAACAAAAGUUCCAAGUUAGCUGCUGCUUGGCACUAGCACAAAGACUGAUCAAUGAGGGUGUUCAUCAGCACCGUCUGCCAAGCAUUAUCUGCUUCUUAUGAGAAAAAGGAAGCAAUUGAACAUAAGAUUUUUCCCUCUUCUGGUGUGGCAAAAAUUUUCUGGUACAUGCAAAGUAGUUACAUAACAGCAAAGUUUUCUUUGUUAAUGGACUAAUAUUAAUCAGUAAAGUUUUUUUUUCCGUAACAAUAACACAGAGUAGAUAUAAUGGGUCCUAUAAAAGAAAAAUUGACAUUGAACGUGAUCUUUUUUUUAAAACAAUAGACUUUAUUAUUUAGAGCCAUUUUAGGCCAGCAGAAAAACUGAGCAGAAAGUACAAAGAAUUCCCAUACACUCCCUGUUCUCACACACGCACAGUCUCCCACACUUCUCCAUCCCACACCAGAAUGGUACAUGGGUCACAAUCACUGAACCUCUAUUGACAUGUCAUUAUCACUCAAAGUCAUAGUUUACAUUAGGGUUCAUUCUUGGUAUUGUACAUUCUAUGGAUUUAGAGAAAUUUAUGAUGAGGUGUCCACCAUUAUAGCACCAUACAGAGUAUUUUCACUGCCCUGAAAAUCCUCUGCUCUACUGAUUCAUCCCUCCCCGCAACCCCUGGCAACCACUGAUUUUUUCUUUUCUUUUCUUUUCUUUUUUUUUUGAGACGGAGUCUCGCUCUGUCGCCCAGGCUGGAGUGCAGUGGCGUGAUCUCGGCUCACUGCAACCUCUGCCUCCCGGGUUCAAGCGAUUCUUCUGCCUCAGCCUCCCAAGUAGCGGGGACUACAGGCGCCCACCACCAUGCCCGGCUAAUUUUUGUAUUUUUAGUAAAGACGGGAUUUAGUAAAGACCGUGUUAGCCAGGAUGGUCUCGAUCUCCUGACCUCGUGAUCCAUCCGCCUCAGCCUCCCAAAGUGCUGGGAUUACAGGCAUGAGCCACCGCGCCCAGCCGACCACUGAUCUUUUUACUGUCUCUAUGGUUUUCCCUUUUCCAGAAUGUCAUGUAAUUGGAAUCCUACAGUAUAUAGCCUUUUCAGAUUGGCAUCUUUCACUUAUAUCACUUAAGCUUCCUCCAUGUCUUUUCAUAACUUCAUAGCUCAUUUCUUUUUAACAUUGAAUAAUAUUGCAUUGCUUGAAUGUACUACAGUUUAUCCAUUUGCCUACUGAAAGACAUCUAUGUUGCUUCCAAGCUUUGGCAAUUAUGAAUAAAGCUGCUAUAAACAUCAACGCACAGGUUUUUGUGCAGACAUAAGUUUUCAGCUCCUUUGGGUAAAUACCAAGGAGCGUGAUGGCUGGAUCAUAUGGUAAGAGUAUGCUUCAUUUUGUAAGAAACUGCCAAACUGUCCUCCAGCUUGGCUGUGCUAUUAUAUUCCCACCAGCAGUGGAUGAGAGUACUGUUGCUGCACAC
RNAcentral lists this long non-coding RNA (4897 nucleotides) under Homo sapiens (human). RNAcentral describes it as "HSALNT0316739". The stretch from base 1881 to 2011 matches the Rfam family "Small nucleolar RNA SNORA63". Lineage: Eukaryota; Metazoa; Chordata; Mammalia; Primates; Hominidae. The record is from RNAcentral.